CAGAUACUCCCUCCGUUCGGACUUACUUGUCUCGGAAAUGGAUGUAUCUAGAACUAAAAUAUGUCUAGAUACAUCCAUUUCUGCGACAAGUAAUUCCGAACGGAGGGAGUAAGAU
Non-coding RNA from Triticum aestivum (bread wheat), 115 nucleotides. The record is from Rfam. Lineage: Eukaryota; Viridiplantae; Streptophyta; Magnoliopsida; Poales; Poaceae.